UUUGUAAUGGUCAUGGGAGCUAAUAACUGAUUGUGUUUUUUCAGUGCUGAUGGGGAUCGCAUUCAUGCAUCUUGGCCAGACUCUUCCAAAGUACCUGGUAAGCCAUGAAAAUACUGUGGUGAAGUUAUAGAGUCAGAAGUUACUUUACAGACAUUUAUUUAGUUUCAGGGUUGGAUUCCUCAUGUUCUCAAAGCAACACUGCUUCCUCGGAAGGCCACCAGUGUGCCUGUGAAGGAAAGGACCUGCUGAGUACAGUGAGUGAACUGAAGCAGGCUCAGCACAAGCUGACUGAGCAGAACAGCAGCCUACUGAGGACAGUGAACCACUGUGAAGAUGUAAAUCUACAACUCACUUUGGAGAUCACGGAUCUGAGAACUAAGCUGGCUAGUGCACAACGGGCAACAGCGAGAACCAGAUCCUUAACAGAAGAACUGGAGGAGGCUCGACGGGUGUGUAAGGAGGCCCAGGAGAGAGCUAGUCGCAGCCAAACAAGCUGCACCAAACUGAGCAGUGAGGUUGAGCGCUUGAAGGGUCACAUCAGGAGGCUAGAAGACAAAAAUGAAAAACUCACCUUUGAAAGAACAUGUGCUGAAGAUGGCAUCAAUAAACUGAGAAAGGCUAACAUGGAACUCAGGGCUGAACUUGAGGAAACCCUCGUUAUGUUGACUCAGAGGGACAAAGAAUCCACAA
Thalassophryne amazonica is the source of this 690-nucleotide long non-coding RNA. RefSeq lists it as uncharacterized. The transcript is spliced from 6 exons. The record is from RefSeq and is a predicted model, not a curated record. Lineage: Eukaryota; Metazoa; Chordata; Actinopteri; Batrachoidiformes; Batrachoididae.